CAACUCAAUCUCAAACAUACUAUAUACUGACCAGCAAUCAAUAAAACACUGGUCAAACAGGCUCCCAAGCCAUAGCACUACAUCACUUGUUUGCGUCCAAACUGUGUACACGCAAUGAUAUCUUGCAACUCACGCAGAAUACAUGUAUUAUAACAGUCAUAGCUACUGAAUCUCAAACAUACUUUAUACUGGCCAGUGAUCAAUAAAAUACUAGUCAAACAUGCUCCCAAACCAUAGCACUACAUCACUUGUUUGCUUCCAAACUAUGUAUACACAAUGAUAUCUAGCAACUCACAUUCUCACCGCAUUUGGUCUAAGCAGUUGGAAAGCAGAAUACAUGUAGAAAUACCGAGCAGCAAAUAUACAUACAUGGCACUGUAUUCAUGGCAU
Molecule: long non-coding RNA, 390 nt
Filed under: Citrus sinensis (sweet orange)
Lineage: Eukaryota; Viridiplantae; Streptophyta; Magnoliopsida; Sapindales; Rutaceae
Description: long non-coding RNA (CSIN_LNC003589)
Source: RNAcentral